This is a long non-coding RNA of Salvia miltiorrhiza (redroot sage), 618 nucleotides long. RefSeq lists it as uncharacterized. The record is from RefSeq and is a predicted model, not a curated record. The transcript has 2 exons. Lineage: Eukaryota; Viridiplantae; Streptophyta; Magnoliopsida; Lamiales; Lamiaceae.
CCGCUGGAACCAGGCGCAGCAGCGCAACCACGCCGGUGUGCCGCCAUCGCCGGGCCGCCGCCUGCUCCCUCAUCCUCGCGGCAGAUCCGCCGCCGCCGUUCAACGCCACGGCCGCCUGGAGCUGCUGCUGUUCGCCUGAGGUCGACGGAUCUGGCCUUCAGUCGUUCGUCUUGCUCGGAGUUCCCGCCGCCGUUGGCUUGCCCGGAGUCGCCGCUGGCUGGCCCGCGAUCGACGGCCAGCAGCUCGCUGGAGGAGCCGAGCACCGUCUCACAAAGAUCGGAGACAACCGCGGCUCCGUCGCCGUCCGUCAACCGCCGGCGACGACGAGCCACCGAGGCUGCCCUCCCCCUGACCUCGACUCACACACGCAAUCAGCCAACACAAAGGGUUUUUUGUGCGAGAAUCAUAUACUGUAAUUGCUCAAAUAAAAGUUUUAACUCUUUCCUUGUAACUUCAGUUCACAAGUACAUAUUUAGUAACUGUAAAUCUAUGAAUUUGCUACUCAUUUUCUUCAUUUAUCAAAGCAUAUGUAAAUCUGAGUUAAUGAGCAUGUGUUGGUAUUCUGGAGUUGAUGUAUACAAUUGAAGGAUAUUAUAAUAUAUAAAUUAGAAAUAUAAA